RNAcentral lists this ribosomal RNA (254 nucleotides) under uncultured bacterium. Its description in RNAcentral is "partial 16S ribosomal RNA". It matches the Rfam family "Archaeal small subunit ribosomal RNA", at positions 474 to 728 of the family's 1478-position model. The record is from RNAcentral.
UACCAGCACCCCGAGUGGUCGGGACGUUUAUUGGGCCUAAAGCAUCCGUAGCCGGUUCUACAAGUCUUCCGUUAAAUCCAGCUGCUUAACAGAUGGGCUGCGGAAGAUACUAUAGAGCUAGGAGGCGGGAGAGGCAAGCGGUACUCGAUGGGUAGGGGUAAAAUCCGUUGAUCCAUUGAAGACCACCAGUGGCGAAGGCGGCUUGCCAGAACGCGCUCGACGGUGAGGGAUGAAAGCUGGGGGAGCAAACCGGG